UUUACAGUUUGUUGGUAUCUGCUGUGCUGCUGCUUCACUCUCUCUCUUUACAGAAAGUUGUAGAAGUUUUCAGACGUGUCACUGCUGGAUGUGAGGAUGGGAGCCACUUUGCUCUGUGAGCUGGGCCUAUUCUUGCUCUGUACGCUCCUCUGCACUGGACACGCUCAAGAUGCUGUGCUAACUAUUGAACCCAACUGGUCCAUUUUUUUCAUUGGAGAGUUCAUUGUCUUCAAAUGUGACAUGAAUGAAGGAAAAGACACUGACUGGAAAUAUAUAAUCAAGAAGGAUGGUCAAG
Molecule: long non-coding RNA, 295 nt
Organism: Oreochromis niloticus (Nile tilapia)
Lineage: Eukaryota; Metazoa; Chordata; Actinopteri; Cichliformes; Cichlidae
Exons: 3
Source: RefSeq, a predicted model, not a curated record